RNAcentral lists this long non-coding RNA (213 nucleotides) under Elaeis guineensis (African oil palm). Its description in RNAcentral is "long non-coding RNA (EGUI_LNC040078)". The record is from RNAcentral. Lineage: Eukaryota; Viridiplantae; Streptophyta; Magnoliopsida; Arecales; Arecaceae.
GCUUGCAGUUAGGUGGAAGCCUAUCAUUAGAAUAAUUUGAUGGCAGACGACAUUCCAUAGGCCUUAAAAAAAUGGUUUGGCCUCACCUCAACGUCAACCAAGGAUGGUCCAGAGGAUCCAAUGGUAACCUGAUCACCUUGAAAUCCAAUUUAAUGGCAGACUAAUUGCCAUCCAAACCAAUCUAAUGACACUAGAUCCACCAUCAUAUAUAUC